Molecule: ribosomal RNA, 716 nt
Filed under: Salmonella enterica subsp. enterica serovar Stanley
Lineage: Bacteria; Pseudomonadati; Pseudomonadota; Gammaproteobacteria; Enterobacterales; Enterobacteriaceae
Description: partial 23S ribosomal RNA
Rfam family: Bacterial large subunit ribosomal RNA
Source: RNAcentral
ACCGUGUACGUACAAGCAGUGGGAGCACAGGUUUACCUGUGUGACUGCGUACCUUUUGUAUAAUGGGUCAGCGACUUAUAUUCUGUAGCAAGGUUAACCGUAUAGGGGAGCCGGAGGGAAACCGAGUCUUAAUUGGGCGUUAAGUUGCAGGGUAUAGACCCGAAACCCGGUGAUCUAGCCAUGGGCAGGUUGAAGGUUGGGUAACACUAACUGGAGGACCGAACCGACUAAUGUUGAAAAAUUAGCGGAUGACCUGUGGCUGGGGGUGAAAGGCCAAUCAAACCGGGAGAUAGCUGGUUCUCCCCGAAAGCUAUUUAGGUAGCGCCUCGUGAAUUCAUCUCCGGGGGUAGAGCACUGUUUCGGCUAGGGGGCCAUCCCGGCUUACCAACCCGAUGCAAACUGCGAAUACCGGAGAAUGUUAUCACGGGAGACACACGGCGGGUGCUAACGUCCGUCGUGAAGAGGGAAACAACCCAGACCGCCAGCUAAGGUCCCAAAGUCAUGGUUAAGUGGGAAACGAUGUGGGAAGGCCCAGACAGCCAGGAUGUUGGCUUAGAAGCAGCCAUCAUUUAAAGAAAGCGUAAUAGCUCACUGGUCGAGUCGGCCUGCGCGGAAGAUGUAACGGGGCUAAACCAUGCACCGAAGCUGCGGCAGCGACACUGUGUGUUGUUGGGUAGGGGAGCGUUCUGUAAGCCUGUGAAGGUGUGUCGUGAGGC